AUGGCGACCCACCGCUCCCUCUUGCCCGCACCAUGCAUCACGGCGCUGCUCCUGGCGGCGGUGAUCAGCACCGAUGCCUCCUACACCGUACAGGAAGAUCGGAGGGAGGCGCAUCUCGAGCCGGCUGACGAAGCCGGCCACAGGACGUACAUCGUCCUUCUCGAGCCACCGGCAGGAGGCCAACACAUGGAUGCCGAUGCUCACAGAGCAUGGCACCAGUCCUUCCUGCCGUCCAUGAAGACGGCCCUCGGCAAGCCGCGACUGCGGCGGUCGUACCGGACCCUCGUCCACGGGUUCUCUGCGCGGUUGACGGAGAGGGAGGUGAAGCGGGUCUCCGCCAAGCCGGGAGUCAUCCGGGCCUUCCCCAACGUCAUCCGGUACCUGGAGACCACGCGGACGCCGGCGUUCCUCGGCCUCCCCUACCAGGUGGAGGAGUCGCCCGAAGACUGGCCUGGCUAUGGCGGCCUUGGGAUGAUAAUCGGCAUCGUGGAUGGCGGCAUCGCCAACAAUCAUCCGUCCAUGGACGACGCUGGAUUCGAGGGCAUCGAGCCGCCGCAACGAUGGAGGGGCUCCUGCCACAAGGACUUCAAGUGCAACAGGAAGAUCAUCGGGGCCAAGAAUUACUUCAACUCCGCACCACCUUUGGAUGUUGACAGCGGACAUGGCACCCACGUGGCGACCAUCGCGGCGGGAAACUUCGUCGCAGGCGCCAACGUCAACGGCCUCGCCAGGGGCAACGCGUCAGGCAUCGCUCCGCAGGCGCACGUCGCCGUCUACAAGGGGUGCAGCCGAACGAGCUGCCCUGACGAAUCGGUGCUGUCAGCCAUCAUUGCGGCGGUGGACGACGGGGUAGAUGUCAUCUCGCUGUCUGUCGGAGGAAUCUCCAACGCUACGUACGACCAUGACCCGAUUGCCGUGGCCUCCUUCGCCGCCAUGCGGGCCGGCAUCCUCGUCGUCGCUACCGCCGGCAAUGCGGGCCCACAUCCAUCGACCGUCCAGAACGAUGUACCUUGGCUUAUGACCGUGGGAGCCGGCACCGUGGACCGGUUACUUAUGGCGAGGGUUGUAAUUGGGGGCGUGCAUAACCCACUGCAUAUAUUUGCCGGUCAGUCGCUCGCCGAUAGGCAGUGGCUGACGACAGUUCGACCAGAUGUUAUGCACGAUCUGCUCUACAGCAACGACGGGGAUCGCGCCAAGUGCGUGUACCCGAAAGACGAGAUGGCGGUACGUGUUUCAGGCCGGGUCGUCAUCUGCGAUGAAAUAGAAGAGGAUGAAGUGGAAGAGGGUCCCGUCGAUGAGUUGCUGAGUAGUAACGCGUCUGCGAUCAUUGUGGUGGACUCAAAGGAGUGCGGAUACACCAGAAACUUGGUGGACAUGGGCGACAUUCCGAUUCUUCAGGUGCCCUACAACGAUGGCGUGUCUUUGAAGGACUAUUCAUCUUCGCCGCACCUCAAGGCGGCUGUCGACUUCAACCGCGGCACCGUUCUGGGUACUACUCCAGCUCCCACGGUGGCCUAUUUCUCGUCACGUGGCCCGAGCCAAUACUUCCCCGCCAUCCUGAAGCCCGACGUGCUCGCGCCCGGGGUCAAUAUCCUAGGAGGGAUACCGUACAAGCCCGGCGACGGUCCUGUGUACUUCGGGUUCAAGUCGGGCACCUCCAUGGCGGCUCCACAUGUAAGCGGCGCAGCCAUCUUGUUGAAGAGCGCACAUCCAAGUUGGAGUCCAGCCGCAAUCAAGUCUGCGCUGAUGACAACGGCGGACAUAGUCGACAACUCCGGGCAUGGAAUCCGAGACGAGCAGCUAGACGCUGCCAACGCGUACAAAAUGGGAGCUGGGCAAAUCAACGUGUCCAGGGCCAUGGACCCUGGGCUCGUGUACGAGCUCAAGGAGGGGCAGUACGCUGCCCACGUCUGCUCCACGCUCGGCGAGGCCGCACUGCGCGCUGUUGCAUGCAAUAACUCGUGGAGAUGCUCCGAGCUGCCAACCACGCACCCGUCCAACCUCAACUACCCAAGCAUCACGGUCCCGCUGCAACCGAGGGGGUUCAUUGUGGUGAGGACGCUGACGAACGUCGCGCCUCGGAUCUCCGAGCCGGAGAUAUACAUGGCCAAGGUGGUCAUGCCUUCGGAGGUGCGCGUGAUCAUCGACCCAAGCACACUCAUGUUCAAUUAUACAGGGCAGGAGGGCUCGUACCAGAUCUCCGUGAGGAGCACCAGCAACUCACCGGUCCAAGGAGCUGUGUACCACGGUACCGUCGAAUGGUCUUCAAGCGAGCACACGGUCAGAAGCCCCAUGCUUGCCGUCGUCGACCUGGCCACCUCUCACCCGUCCACGCCGUGGAAGCUUCACUGA
Molecule: ribosomal RNA, 2352 nt
Filed under: Triticum aestivum (bread wheat)
Lineage: Eukaryota; Viridiplantae; Streptophyta; Magnoliopsida; Poales; Poaceae
Description: partial small subunit ribosomal RNA
Source: RNAcentral